GAUCAUGGCUCAGGACGAACGCUGGCGGCGUGCCUAAUACAUGCAAGUCGAACGAGAACGACCGGUGCUUGCACUGGUCAAUCUAGUGGCGAACGGGUGAGUAACACGUGGGUAACCUGCCCAUCAGAGGGGGAUAACAUUCGGAAACGGAUGCUAAAACCGCAUAGGUUCUUUAGUCGCAUGACUGGAGAAGGAAAAGAGGCUUCGUCUUCUGCUGAUGGAUGGACCCGCGGUGCA
This 237-nucleotide ribosomal RNA is filed under the name uncultured bacterium. RNAcentral describes it as "partial 16S ribosomal RNA". It matches the Rfam family "Bacterial small subunit ribosomal RNA", at positions 15 to 240 of the family's 1533-position model. The record is from RNAcentral.